This 500-nucleotide long non-coding RNA is filed under the name Setaria viridis. RNAcentral's name for it is "long non-coding RNA (SVIR_LNC005588)". Lineage: Eukaryota; Viridiplantae; Streptophyta; Magnoliopsida; Poales; Poaceae. The record is from RNAcentral.
GCGGGUAGGUUAAAAGAGUUUACCAUGCAUAUGAGUAUAUCAUAAGAUGGAUAGAGACAAUACUUCAAGGUAGGGGUAGGAUAAAAAGAUAGAUAGUGUGACACACACGGGAAUCAUCUAAAGAUAACUAAGCUAGGGAAAAUAGGUUCAUAUGUAUUUCCUAUAUACUGCACAGAUCAUACAAGCAUAACAUACAUAUACAUUGUAUAAAACUCAGGCCUAUGCACCCAGGCCCACACGGGGAGACAAUACCCGUACUGGUUCGGCCCAGUAAAGUUACUGCUAAUUUCUGAACUCCUACAGUGUACCCAAACGUGGGGGAUUACGAAGAACCAACAGGGUUGUCACUAUUGUAACAACCCUAGUUUUAAUUAACCUUGUCAAAGCUUAAGUAGAGUGUUUAGAAGUUAAUCUCGCGUUUAAAAGGACCAAAAUACCCUUUAAAAGUGUAGUUUAGAGGCAAUUCAUAAAUUGAAAAUUUUAUAUAACAACUUUGAUUU